This 245-nucleotide ribosomal RNA is filed under the name uncultured bacterium. RNAcentral describes it as "partial 16S ribosomal RNA". It matches the Rfam family "Bacterial small subunit ribosomal RNA", at positions 524 to 768 of the family's 1533-position model. The record is from RNAcentral.
UACGGAGGGUGCAAGCGUUGUUCGGAUUUAUUGGGCGUAAAGCGCGUGUAGGCGGUAUUGUAAGUCUGAUGUGAAAUCCUUGAGCUUAACUCGAGAACUGCAUUGGAUACUGCUUUACUAGAGUGUCGGAGAGGGUACUGGAAUUCCUGGUGUAGAGGUGAAAUUCGUAGAUAUCAGGAAGAACACCGGUGGCGAAGGCGGGUACCUGGACGACUACUGACGCUGAGACGCGAAAGCGUGGGGAG